GAGGGUGUAACUCAAUGGUACAAGUGCAUGCCUAGCAUGCACAGUGUCCUAGGUUCAAUCCCCAGCACCUCCA
RNAcentral lists this transfer RNA (73 nucleotides) under Camelus bactrianus (Bactrian camel). It matches the Rfam family "tRNA". From Rfam's summary of the family: Transfer RNA (tRNA) molecules are approximately 80 nucleotides in length. Their secondary structure includes four short double-helical elements and three loops (D, anti-codon, and T loops). RNAcentral also lists the same sequence under 2 other names. Lineage: Eukaryota; Metazoa; Chordata; Mammalia; Artiodactyla; Camelidae. The record is from Rfam by way of RNAcentral.